GGCGAACGCUGGCGGCGUGCUUAACACAUGCAAGUCGAACGGAAAGGCCCUGCUUGCAGGGUACUCGAGUGGCGAACGGGUGAGUAACACGUGGGUGAUCUGCCCUGCACUUCGGGAUAAGCUUGGGAAACUGGGUCUAAUACCGGAUAGGAGCCAUCUUUAGUGUGGUGGUUGGAAAGUUUUUUCGGUGUAGGAUGAGCUCGCGGCCUAUCAGCUUGUUGGUGGGGUAAUGGCCUACCAAGGCGGCGACGGGUAGCCGGCCUGAGAGGGUGUACGGCCACAUUGGGACUGAGAUACGGCCCAGACUCCUACGGGAGGCAGCAGUGGGGAAUAUUGCACAAUGGGCGCAAGCCUGAUGCAGCGACGCCGCGUGGGGGAUGAAGGCCUUCGGGUUGUAAACUCCUUUCGCUAGGGACGAAGCUUUUUGUGACGGUACCUAGAGAAGAAGCACCGGCUAACUACGUG
Molecule: ribosomal RNA, 465 nt
Filed under: uncultured bacterium
Lineage: Bacteria
Description: partial 16S ribosomal RNA
Rfam family: Bacterial small subunit ribosomal RNA
Source: RNAcentral